CUGGGGUACAACUGACACUGAGGCUCGAAAGUGUGGGUAUCAAACAGGAUUAGAUACCCUGGUAGUCCACACAGUAAACGAUGAAUACUCGCUGUUUGCGAUAUACAGUAAGCGGCCAAGCGAAAGCAUUAAGUAUUCCACCUGGGGAGUACGCCGGCAACGGUGAAACUCAAAGGAAUUGACGGGGGCCCGCACAAGCGGAGGAACAUGUGGUUUAAUUCGAUGAUACGCGAGGAACCUUACCCGGGCUUGAAUUGCAGAGGAACAUAGUUGAAAGAUUAUGGCCGCAAGGUCUCUGUGAAGGUGCUGCAUGGUUGUCGUCAGCUCGUGCCGUGAGGUGUCGGCUUAAGUGCCAUAACGAGCGCAACCCUUAUCAUUAGUUACUAACAGGUCAUGCUGAGGACUCUAGUGAGACUGCCGUCGUAAGAUGUGAGGAAGGUGGGGAUGACGUCAAAUCAGCACGGCCCUUACGUCCGGGGCUACACACGUGUUACAAUGGGGGGUACAGAGGGCAGCUACCGGGCGACCGGAUGCCAAUCCCAAAAACCUCUCUCAGUUCGGAUCGAAGUCUGCAACCCGACUUCGUGAAGCUGGAUUCGCUGGUAAUCG
This 609-nucleotide ribosomal RNA is filed under the name uncultured Bacteroidales bacterium. RNAcentral describes it as "bacterial SSU rRNA". It matches the Rfam family "Bacterial small subunit ribosomal RNA", at positions 729 to 1344 of the family's 1533-position model. Lineage: Bacteria; Pseudomonadati; Bacteroidota; Bacteroidia; Bacteroidales. The record is from RNAcentral.